Molecule: transfer RNA, 73 nt
Filed under: Pseudomonadota bacterium
Lineage: Bacteria; Pseudomonadati; Pseudomonadota
Also listed under: 4 other names
Description: tRNA-Trp
Rfam family: tRNA
About the family: Transfer RNA (tRNA) molecules are approximately 80 nucleotides in length.
Source: RNAcentral
AGGGCAGUAGCUCAAGUGGUAGAGCACUCGACUCCAAAUCGAGCGGUUGUGGGUUCAAGUCCUGCCUGCCCUG